ACCGUGGUUCACUGCCCUGUGGGAAAAAACAAAAAAUAUGUGUAACUUGGAACCCUAGCGCCAUAUAUAUUAAUAUAUAUCCUUUGACCACUUUCUCUCCGUCUCUAACUCGGAACCCUAACGCCAUCUAUCAUCUUUUCCAUUCCUAACCAGAGUAUAUAUAUAUACGCCUCCUUCACUCCUCUGCAAAACUUCAGGCGCCUCUUUCUCUGUCAGUGGCGAUUUGUUUCAGAAAAGCAGAGGAGAUAAUUAUAACAAGCAGGGCCUAAUUGACUGCCGAUUUCAUCUGUGUUGUUUGAGAUUCAAGCAAUUACUUGACCUGAAGAACUAAUUGGCAUAUAUGUUAUCAUGAAGUGCAGUCGGCUGCCAAAUAUGAAUAGAUCCAGAAGGAAUCGAGGCAAAGCCAUGAAGAUGAAGAUGAAGAUGAAGAUGGCGGCAGAAAGUAAAAGAAGAAAUCAGGAGCCAUGCGAAGCCAUGCCUAGAGCGCCAUACCUUACCCAACAUCUUAUUGUUGAAAUACUCUCAAAACUGCCGGUGAAGGCUCUGUUACGAUUCAAGUGCGUGUCAAAGCGAUGGCGCUCUCUGAUCUCUGAUCCCCACUUCAUCAAAGCCCACCUCAAUCAAUCACUCACCACGAAUUCCAAUAUCCAAACACAGCGGAUACUGGUAGCCACUCCCUUCUGCCCUCUUCGUGUCUAUACGGUAAGUAUCGGGGGGUCAUCUGAUAAUGACGACGACAUUGAUGUUGCAGUAUCAAAGAUUGAUUUUUUAUUUAAGAACAUUAAUAAUCCUAGUACUCAUCAUGCGUGGGAAAUCAUUGGUUCCUGUCAUGGGUUGAUAUGCAUGGUGAACGAGUUUGGAUUGAUAUGUGUAUUCAAUCCGUCGACGAGGGAGUCCAAGCUGAUACGGGAUUGCGGGGAUCAUCCCCGCGGUGGCGUAGUUGGAUUUGCGUAUGACCAUUGUUCUGAUGAUUACAAAUUGCUGAAAAUAAGCCGCUGCAAUGGCGUGUAUGUCUAUUCCCUCAGAAAUUGUUCUUGUUGGAGAAAAAUACAUGACUUUACUAAGUAUAGUGUUAUAUCGAAGGGGACGCAGCUGAAUGGAGCCAUUCAUUGGGUUUGUUUGGAGGGUUCAGACGACAAGCCAUCGGAGAUUGCUGUUUUUCGUUUGGAGGAUGAGAAACUUUGGACCAUUCCUUUGCCUGCUGCGGCUUCCAUCACCAGUUUUAAUGAUGCAGUGGAACUAGGGGUGUUUGAUGGAUGCCUUUGUAUAGUAGCAUGUGGUGCUGAUAAUGCAUUCUGCUGGGUUAUGAGGGAAUAUGGGGUGAACCAGUCUUGGGCUAAACUCGACAUUAAACUUCCAUAUUAUUUCCAUAUCUUACAGCCAUUGGCUACCUUGAGGAGGAGGAAUGAUGAAGAAGAAGAUAUGUGUUUGAUAGACUUCGAGAAGUUUGUUUUAUACAACACAAGAGAGGGAACUUCUAGGGACCUUCUCAUAGCUGACGGUGCCCCGUUUGUUAAUGCUAAUGCAAUCAGCUAUGUAGAUACUCUCCUAUCACCGCUCAUGAACCAUGUCAUCAUAACAUAGCAACUAUUUAUCUGUCUGUCCCGCAGGGCUGAAACUGAGCGACCAUCUACAAGUUCACCUGCUACAACCGAGUGGAUCAGGUGAUGAUAGGAAUUCAACAAAUGAAAGAAUGGAAGGUGAUGGUAGUAAUGAGCAGAUGGGGUGACAACCAAGUGGAGGUCUGAUACGAAAGGGCGUGGAAGAGCAAAAAAUGAAGCCUUACACAAAAUUAAGGAAAAGAAUUGUCCAGUUCGAGUAGAGUUUGGAGAGGGUUGUAUUAAAUCUGUUGGUUUAAAUAACAAAUUAUGGACGGCUCAGAUUGGCAUUAAUACACGAGAUACCGAAGCCCUUCUAAAGUACAAAACGUGGAGGUAUGUUCCAAGAUUUUGAGAAAGAGGUCUGCUGUGACCAUUUGAAGGAGAUGUUGGAGUGGAUGCAUAUGCGAAUGACACUGAUUUUAAGGGAGUAAAUAAUGGAAUUUCCAGCGCAUUGAGGAAAUAUAGAUAUAAAUUGAAGAGUCAUUUCGAGUGGGAAAUUUCGAGUAGCAUCUUCCCAUUGAGAAUGCACGCUGCCAUCCUUACAAUGUUAUUGGUCAUGCUGUUUGGCAAAAGUUGUGUGAUAGGUGGAUGUCACUAGAAUUUCAGGAAAUAAGUGAACAAAACAAAGAAAAUUGUUCCAAGAAUGAGGUUUCACAUUAUUCUGGAUCGAUGUCCUUCGUCAGACGUUACGAUACUUGUGUCAAACUCAAAGAAAGGUAGAGCCAAGAAGAUGAGGACGGUGAAAGGGAUGAGGAUAUGCUAUUCGCUUAUACAAGGGCACACAUUUUAAGGAACAAGGUGGAUGGGCAUAAGGGAUAGCUAAGAGGAAUUUUGAUGCAAUGAAAGAAAAGGCUGCACAAAAUUCUCAAAAUUUUGAUGGUACGAGUCCAAUCAUAAAUGAUGUUGAGAUAGUGCAAAACCAACUAGGCAUAAGGAAGGGAUAUUGCCGUGGAUCCGCACAUGGUUUCAUGGCUCCAAGGCGUCAACGUGCCCCUUCAUCAUGUGAUGAGGCUUCUACGAAAAGGGCCAAAAUUGUUGAUGAUAGAAAUGUACAAUUGGCGGAAAAGAUGGAUAAAUUUGAGAAGGUACUUGAACAGUACCAACAACAACCGCCACCAUGGUUCCUCCAAUAUCAACAGCAGUUGCCACCAUGGUUCCACCAACAAUAGUCUCCAUCAGAUUCCCACCAGCAGCAGCAACCGCCAACAAGGUGGCAAUAUCAGCAGUUGCCACCAACAUAGUGGCAAUAUCAACACCACCAGCAAGCACCACCACAACCACCAACAGAAUGACUAAUGUGAUAAAGAGAUAAAUUUUUUGGUAUACAAAUUUUGGAGCUUUAUGAUGAUCAACUAGUUGAUUUCUAAACUCUAUUUUUUUUGGGUUGUAUUUUGAUGACUUUGUCAUAUAUACUCUUAUUCAUUCAUGUGUGGUUUAAACAACCAUACCCACCUAUAGUCACUACUGCCCUAUGGUCACUACUGUUUCGGGGUUCAAUUAUACAAUUUCAUUUUAUCAAAUUUUGCUUUAUUUGGUCUU
Molecule: RNA transcript, 3140 nt
Organism: Cornus florida
Lineage: Eukaryota; Viridiplantae; Streptophyta; Magnoliopsida; Cornales; Cornaceae
Gene name: F-box/kelch-repeat protein At3g06240-like
Exons: 7
Source: RefSeq, a predicted model, not a curated record